Molecule: ribosomal RNA, 210 nt
Filed under: Thermoanaerobacterium thermosaccharolyticum
Lineage: Bacteria; Bacillati; Bacillota; Clostridia; Thermoanaerobacterales; Thermoanaerobacteraceae
Description: partial 16S ribosomal RNA
Rfam family: Bacterial small subunit ribosomal RNA
Source: RNAcentral
AAACAUGAGAGUUUGAUCCUGGCUCAGGACGAACGCUGGCGGCGUGCCUAACACAUGCAAGUCGAGCGAAGGGAGUACUACGGUACGAACUUAGCGGCGGACGGGUGAGUAACGCGUGGACAAUCUACCCUGUAGACUGGGAUAACACCUCGAAAGGGGUGCUAAUACCGGAUAAUGUCGAGAAGCGGCAUCGCUUUUCGAAGAAAGGAG